AGCAGAAAGUGGCGAACGGGUGAGUAACGCGUGGGUAAUCUACCCUGUCAAGUGGGGGAUAACCCUCCGAAAGGAGGGCUAAUACCGCAUAAUAUCUUCUCCUCUAAAAGAGGUAAAGAUUAAAGAUGGCCUCUAUACUAUGCUAUCGCUUCAGGAUGAGCCCGCGUCCUAUUAGUUAGUUGGUGGGGUAAUGGCCUACCAAGACCACAAUGGGUAGCCGGUCUGAGAGGAUGUACGGCCACACUGGGACUGAGAUACGGCCCAGACUCCUACGGGAGGCAGCAGUGGGGAAUAUUGCGCAAUGGGGGAAACCCUGACGCAGCGACGCCGCGUGGAUGAUGAAGGCCUUUGGGUUGUAAAAUCCUGUUCUGGGGGAAGAAAGCUUAAGGGUCCAAUAAACCCUUAAGCCUGACGGUACCCCAAGAGAAAGCUCCGGCUAAUUAUGUGCCAGCAGCCGCGGUAAUACAUAAGGAGCAAGCGUUAUCCGGAAUUAUUGGGCGUAAAGAGCUCGUAGGCGGUCUUAAAAGUCAGUUGUGAAAUUAUCAGGCUCAACCUGAUAAGGUCAUCUGAAACUCUAAGACUUGAGGUUAGAAGAGG
This 597-nucleotide ribosomal RNA is filed under the name uncultured bacterium. RNAcentral's name for it is "bacterial SSU rRNA". It matches the Rfam family "Bacterial small subunit ribosomal RNA", at positions 87 to 657 of the family's 1533-position model. The record is from RNAcentral.